RNAcentral lists this ribosomal RNA (253 nucleotides) under uncultured bacterium. Its description in RNAcentral is "partial 16S ribosomal RNA". It matches the Rfam family "Bacterial small subunit ribosomal RNA", at positions 524 to 776 of the family's 1533-position model. The record is from RNAcentral.
UACGUAGGGGGCAAGCGUUGUCCGGAAUCAUUGGGCGUAAAGCGCGUGUAGGCGGCCAGAUAAGUCCGCUGUGAAAACUCGAGGCUCAACUUCGAGCUGUCGGUGGAAACUUUCUGGCUAGAGUCCGGAAGAGGAGAAUGGAAUUCCUGGUGUAGCGGUGAAAUGCGCAGAUAUCAGGAAGAACACCCGUGGCGAAGGCGGUUCUCUGGGACGGUACUGACGCUGAGAUACGAAAGCGUGGGGAGCAAACAGG